RNAcentral lists this ribosomal RNA (109 nucleotides) under Acholeplasmataceae bacterium. The record is from RNAcentral. Lineage: Bacteria; Bacillati; Mycoplasmatota; Mollicutes; Acholeplasmatales; Acholeplasmataceae.
UCUAGUGAUGAUGGCAAGGAGGGCACACCUGUUCCCAUGCCGAACACAGAAGUUAAGCAUUUCAGCGUCGACGAUAGUCUUAAGGGGCGAAAAUAGAACGUUGCCAGGC